GAUGAACGCUGGCGGCGUGCCUAAUACAUGCAAGUCGAGCGAACAGACGAGGAUCUUGCUCCUCUGACGUUAGCGGCGGACGGGUGAGUAACACGUGGAUAACCUACCUAUAGGACUGGGAUAACUUCGGGAAACCGGAUCUAAUACCGGAUAAUAUAUUGAACCGCAUGGUUCAUUAGUGAAAGACGGUUUUGCUGUCACUUAUAGAUGGUUCCUCGCCGCAUUAGCUAGUUGGUAAGGUAACGGCUUACCAAGGCAACGAUGCGUAGCCGACCUGAGAGGGUGAUCAGCCACACUGGAACUGAGACACGGUCCAGACUCCUACGGGAGGCAGCAGUAGGGAAUCUUCGGCAAUGGGCGAAAGCCUGACGGAGCAACGCCGCGUGAGUGGUGAAGGUCUUCGGAUCGUAAAACUCUGUUAGUAGGGAAGAACAAAUGUGUAAGUAACUCUGCACGUCUUGACGGUACCUAAACAGAAAGCCACGGCUAACUACGUG
This 497-nucleotide ribosomal RNA is filed under the name uncultured bacterium. RNAcentral describes it as "partial 16S ribosomal RNA". It matches the Rfam family "Bacterial small subunit ribosomal RNA", at positions 28 to 507 of the family's 1533-position model. The record is from RNAcentral.